RNAcentral lists this ribosomal RNA (468 nucleotides) under uncultured bacterium. RNAcentral describes it as "partial 16S ribosomal RNA". It matches the Rfam family "Bacterial small subunit ribosomal RNA", at positions 28 to 507 of the family's 1533-position model. The record is from RNAcentral.
GAUGAACGCUGGCGGCGUGCUUAACACAUGCAAGUCGAACGGAAAGGCCCAAGCUUGCUUGUGUUCUCGAGUGGCGAACGGGUGGGUAACACGUGUGUGAUCUGCCCUGCACUUCGGGAUAAGCCUGCGAAACUGGGUCUAAUAUCGGAUAGGAUGAUGGUUUCGAUGCCAUUGUGGAAAGUUUCUUCGGUGUGGGAUGAGCUCGCGGCGUAUCAGGUUGUUGGUGGGGUAAUGGCCUACCAAGGCGUCGUCGGGGAGCCGGCCUGAGGGGGUGUACGGCCGGAUCAGAAUUGAGAGACAGGCCAGAGUGGUGCGUGUGGGAGCAGGGGGGAAAAUCGGACAAAGGGAGCAAGCGUGAGGCAACGAGGCCGCGGGGGUGAAGAGGGCUUUCGGGGGGUAAGCUCCGUUGGCGGGGGACAAAGCGUUGUUGUGACGGUACCUGGAGAAGAAGCACCGGCUAACUACGUG